GACGAACGCUGGCGGCGUGCUUAACACAUGCAAGUCGAGCGAGGAAAUUGCUUCGGUAAUUUCCUAGCGGCGGACGGGUGAGUAACACGUGGGCAACCUGCCUGAUAGAGGGGGAUAGCCUCCCGAAAGGGAGAUUAAUACCGCAUAAAGUCAAAUGAAGACAUCUUCAAAUGACCAAAGGAGUAAUCCGCUAUCAGAUGGGCCCGCGGCGCAUUAGCUAGUUGGUGAGGUAACGGCUCACCAAGGCGACGAUGCGUAGCCGACCUGAGAGGGGGAUCGGCCACAUUGGGACUGAGACACGGCCCAGACUCCUACGGGAGGCAGCAGUGGGGAAUAUUGCACAAUGGGGGAAACCCUGAUGCAGCAACGCCGCGUGAGUGAUGAAGGCCUUCGGGUUGUAAAGCUCUGUCUUCAGGGACGAUAAUGACGGUACCUGAGGAGGAAGCCACGGCUAACUACGUGCCAGCAGCCGCAGUAA
RNAcentral lists this ribosomal RNA (478 nucleotides) under uncultured bacterium. RNAcentral's name for it is "partial 16S ribosomal RNA". It matches the Rfam family "Bacterial small subunit ribosomal RNA", at positions 28 to 523 of the family's 1533-position model. The record is from RNAcentral.